Molecule: ribosomal RNA, 346 nt
Filed under: uncultured fungus
Lineage: Eukaryota; Fungi
Description: SSU rRNA
Rfam family: Eukaryotic small subunit ribosomal RNA
Source: RNAcentral
GUAGUCAUAUGCUUGUCUCAAAGAUUAAGCCAUGCAUGUCUAAGUAUAAGCAAUCUAUACAGUGAAACUGCGAAUGGCUCAUUAAAUCAGUUAUCGUUUAUUUGAUAGUACAUUACUACUUGGAUAACCGUGGUAAUUCUAGAGCUAAUACAUGCUAAAAAUCCCGACCUCUGGAAGGGGUGUAUUUAUUAGAUAAAAAACCAAUGCCUUCGGGCUCCUUGGUGAUUCAUGAUAACUUUACGAAUCGCAUGGCCUUGUGCCGGCGAUGGUUCAUUCAAAUUUCUGCCCUAUCAACUUUCGAUGGUAGGAUAGUGGCCUACCAUGGUUUCAACGGGUAACGGGGAAU